This 399-nucleotide ribosomal RNA is filed under the name uncultured bacterium. Its description in RNAcentral is "bacterial SSU rRNA". It matches the Rfam family "Bacterial small subunit ribosomal RNA", at positions 358 to 774 of the family's 1533-position model. The record is from RNAcentral.
GGAAUAUUGCACAAUGGGGGAAACCCUGAUGCAGCAACGCCGCGUGAGUGAAGAAGUAUUUCGGUGUGUAAAACUCUAUCAGCAGGGAAGAAAAUGACAGUACCUGACUAAGAAGCCCCGGCUAACUACGUGCCAGCAGCCGCGGUAAUACGUAGGGGGCAAGCGUUAUCCGGAUUUACUGGGUGUAAAGGGAGCGUAGACGGCUGUGCAAGUCAGAAGUGAAAGCCCGGGGCUCAACCGCGGGACUGCUUUUGAAACUGUGUAGCUGGAGUGCAGGAGAGGUAAGUGGAAUUCCUAGUGUAGCGGUGAAAUGCGUAGAUAUUAGGAGGAACACCGGUGGCGAAGGCGGCUUACUGGACUGUAACUGACGUUGAGGCUCGAAAGCGUGGGGAGCAAACA